CGUGUUCUAGAGAGAGGGAAAAAGGGAAGAACACCUUCAAGAACAAAAACUCAAAAUUCAGCAAAUUAGAAAGGAAAUCGAUGGUUAAUCUCUUGCAUGAGCCCUAAUACAUGAUCAUCUAAGCUCGUUUAACAAGUGGUGUGAAGGAAGAAGGUGCAAGCAACAAGAAACCUUAAGGCUUGCAAAAUCAAGGUAAAUCUCAUCCUUAAUAACGGCGAUCCUGGAUCGAACACACUACAACUCAUGCCCAAAAAUGCGCUUCCGUAUAAGUUUUUGUGUCAAAUGGGUCAAAACUCUCUUUUGGUUUAUAAGAUGUUCCUUUGUAUUUAAGGUCUUUUGUAAGUAGAUUAGUUGAUGGUCAUGGUU
Helianthus annuus (common sunflower) is the source of this 366-nucleotide long non-coding RNA. RefSeq lists it as uncharacterized. The record is from RefSeq and is a predicted model, not a curated record. The transcript has 3 exons. Lineage: Eukaryota; Viridiplantae; Streptophyta; Magnoliopsida; Asterales; Asteraceae.